GCAUUUGGAACCGGUUUAACUGUUAUCCAGUCAUCACCACGACGGACUUGGAGGCCGGCGACGUCGGUGUCAGGGAGGAGAAGGGUCAUGCCACCAGGAUCAGAGUGGGGAGAGAGUCCAAGUGUUAGGUCAGGCUGGGGACAUUUAGGGUAAAAAUUAACCCUUAAACAUGCACCUCUUUCAUUGUCUCCACCAAAUUUUGUGUGUAGAUAAUUUUCAUUUAAUCCAAGGUUAAUCGACAAGAUAUU
Long non-coding RNA from Solanum stenotomum, 248 nucleotides. RefSeq lists it as uncharacterized. The record is from RefSeq and is a predicted model, not a curated record. The transcript is spliced from 2 exons. Lineage: Eukaryota; Viridiplantae; Streptophyta; Magnoliopsida; Solanales; Solanaceae.